Molecule: long non-coding RNA, 431 nt
Organism: Hyaena hyaena (striped hyena)
Lineage: Eukaryota; Metazoa; Chordata; Mammalia; Carnivora; Hyaenidae
Exons: 2
Source: RefSeq, a predicted model, not a curated record
UUUCCAACUUCUAAUUCACGUUUCUUUCACAAGGAGUGAUAUCUUGCGCAUACUUGCAAAUCUGAGUGUGGAGUUUGGUGUUUGUGAUUUCCCUGCAGCCUUCAGGUCAGCUUCCUCACACCACGUUCGCUCCAAAUGUUUUUGGUAGAGUCAAGAAAAUGUCACUUUCCAGGAAAUGGGGACCCAAAUUAAAUAACUUAAUUUGAGAACCAAUCAACCCAACUACGCAUCCAUCCAUCCAUUCAUCCAUCCUUCUAUUGAAGAAUACUUCUGAAUGUGACUGCCACUUCUUCAAUUUGCUUGUGAUAUGACCUAAGACACUUUAGGUAGACCAUCUAGAAAAGUGACUUAUGUAUCUAUAUAAUAAGGAAGUGGUAACCCGUAUGUCACGUAAUGCUGGAAAGAUUAAAUAAAGUUAAAUAUGCCAAGUG